RNAcentral lists this long non-coding RNA (294 nucleotides) under Lathyrus oleraceus (garden pea). RNAcentral describes it as "Pisum sativum (pea) long non-coding RNA (PSAT_LNC032960)". Lineage: Eukaryota; Viridiplantae; Streptophyta; Magnoliopsida; Fabales; Fabaceae. The record is from RNAcentral.
GAAUAUUCUCUUUCUUUGAGGUCUUCUGCCUAGUAGCCGCUAGUUGUAAACCCUAUUUGGCUUUUCCCCAGCUGGUUAUUCUUACCCAGUAACUGGUAAUGAAUACAUCUCCUGUUGCCCUUAGCGAGUCAUCCUUGAUAUGUUUACCCUAACCAGUAACGGAUGUCCUCUCGGUCAGAUUAUGUUAUCUCCUCACCCAGUAACGGGUAAUGGAUAAUAUACUUCUGUUACUCCUGUGUCGAAGAUCUUUUCUUGCCCAGUUGAGUUCGAGUGUGUAUUUCAUCAAUGAAAUCG